UACGGAGGGUGCUAGCGUUGUUCGGAAUCACUGGGCGUAAAGGGCGUGUAGGCGGUCUGUUAAGUCUGAUGUGAAAUCCCCUCGCUCAACGAGGGAACUGCGUCGGAUACUGGCAGACUUGAGUACCGGAGAGGAAGGUGGAAUUCCCGGUGUAGCGGUGAAAUGCGUAGAUAUCUGGAGGAACACUGGUGGCGAAGGCGGCAUCCUGGACCGGCAUUGACGCUGAGGCGCGAAAGCCAGGGGAGCAAACGGG
RNAcentral lists this ribosomal RNA (253 nucleotides) under uncultured bacterium. RNAcentral describes it as "partial 16S ribosomal RNA". It matches the Rfam family "Bacterial small subunit ribosomal RNA", at positions 524 to 776 of the family's 1533-position model. The record is from RNAcentral.